This 3502-nucleotide long non-coding RNA is filed under the name Papio anubis (olive baboon). RNAcentral describes it as "lncRNA (ENSPANG00000042961.1)". The record is from RNAcentral. Lineage: Eukaryota; Metazoa; Chordata; Mammalia; Primates; Cercopithecidae.
AAGAACUUAAACAAAUUUACAAGAAAAAAAAAAACACGUCAAAAUGUGGGCAAAGGAUAUGAACAGACACUUUUAAAAGAAGACAUUUAUGCAGUCAACAAACAUACGAAAAAAAGGUCAAGGUCAUUAGAGAAAUGCAAAUCACAGCCACAAUGAGAUACCAUCUCACACCAGUUUGAAUAGCGACCAUUAAAAAGUCUGGAAACAACAGAUGCUGGAGAGGAUGUGGAGAAAUAGGAACACAGUGGCUACCCAAAGAGUACAAUGCCUCAUCUCCACAUCCAUAUCUCACCCUCUCGCCUUUGGGGAACAGCUUGGGCACAGUGACCUAUGCUUUGCAGUAAGAAACUGUUUAGGCAUCAGUGGUGACACAGGUGUGCUCAGUCACGGACACUGGUCUCAGGCAGUGUCUGGAGCUUCACAUUCCAGGAUUCAGCCUCUUUCUUUGUGGAUCAUCUGGAAACAAGAAGUGUCUUCCUCGAGACUAUAAGAAAUUGAGGACAGGGGUUUUUCAGUUUCAUUUAUUGCUCUAUAACAUGGCCUGGAACAUAUACACACUCAAUAAACAUUUGUUGGAUACCAGCUGAAUACAGGCCAGUAAGAGGAUCACAGCACCUCAGGGGCAGAUUCACGAUUAGAAACUUUCUCUUAAUGUCCAGACUUAAUUAUGAUUUCCUCCAAAUAUCACGUAGUUUAGAAACUAUUUGGUUUGAAAAAAUGUUCAAACUAAUCUUAAGGAGUUAGGAGCUUUAAUUCAUAAUUAAGCAAAUAUUUAAUCCCUUUUAACUUUAAAUACCAGAGAAAGAGCAAGUAACCUGGGAACACAUACACAGAGAGGGACAAAAACUUUACUUUUAUUUAUUUAUUUUUCUUUAUCUUUUUUUUUUUCCUUGAGACAGUGUCUCACUCUGUCACCCAGGGGGAAGUGCAGUGGUAGGAUUUCAGCCCACUGCAAUCUCAAACUCCUAGGCCCAAGUAAUUAUCCCGCCUCAGCCUCCUGAGUAGCCAGGACUACAGGUGCAUACCACCAUUCCCAGCUACAUUUUAAAUUUUGUUUUGUAGAAAUGGGGUCUUGCUAUGUUGCCCAGGCUAGCCUCAAACUCUUGACCUCAAGCAGUCCUCCCACCUCGGCCUCCAAAAGUGUUGGGAUUACAGGCGUGAGCCACUGCACCCCAGCAUACGUUUAUAUUUAAAGAGAAGAGAUUAAAUUUUUUAAGUUUAAUUUAUACAAAUCAUAAUUUAAUGGUUCCAAACUCAGACUAAUUAUAAAUAAAGUAAAAUCUAGGAACAGAAUAUUUGUUGUGCUUUAUUUUUUUAUAGAAUAUUUAUAAGCCAAAUUUUCCCAAGGGAUUUUUUUGGGCCCUGGAGAAAGAGACAUAAGUUCACAUAGUAAAGAGGUAACUACUUUACAAAUAGUAGUCACAUGUAAUGAUUUCUGACUAGGUAAUAUUUUUACAAGGUUUGAAAAUCAAAGCAACUUUUUUUUUUUUUUUUUUUUUUGAGAUGGAGACUCGCUCUGUCGCCUGGGCUGGAGUGCAGUGGCCGGAUCUCAGCUCACUGCAAGCUCCGCCUCCCGGGUUUACGCUGCCUCAGCCUCCGGAGUAGCUGGGACUACAGGCGCCCGCCUAGUUUUUUCUAUUUUUUUUUUUUUUUUAGUAGAGACGGGGUUUCACCAUGUUAGUCCUAACCUCGUGAUCUGCCCGUCUCGGCCUCCAAUUUUAAAAAGUAUAUCUUGGCCGGGCGCGGUGGCUCAAGCCUGAAUUCCAGCACUUUGGGAGGCCGAGGCAGGCGGAUCACGAGGUCAGGAGAUCCAGACCAUCCUGGCUAACAGAGUGAAACCCCGUCUCUACUAAAAAUACAAAAAACUAGCCGGGCGAGGUGGCGGGCACCUGUAGUCCCAGCUACUCGGGGCGCUGAGGCAGAAGAAUGGCGUAAACUCGGGAGGCUGAGCUUGCAGUGAGCUGAGAUCCGGCCACUGCACUCCAGCCUGGACGAUAGAGCGAGACUCCGUGUCAAAAAAAAAAAAAAAAAAGUAUAUCUUGAGAAAUCUUAGUUCUACCCCAUUCCUGUCCACCUUGUCCCCACACCCAUUCUGGGUAGUCAUUUUUAUUUGUUUCUUGAUUAUCAUUCCAAAGUGUCUUUAUACAAAUAUAAAUAAUUAUAGAUUUUUGUUUUUACUUUUUCAUCUUUGUUAGUUUAAUUUAUACACAAUGCUGUUCCUUGCUUUCUCCAUUAAUAAUAAUACAGUGUGGAGAUCUCACACCAGCAUUUUAUGAAUGACCUCAUUCUUUUAAUAACUGUGUGGUGAAUCAGGUCUCUAUUGGUGGGAACUGAUAAUGUUUCUUGUUUUUUCUAUUGGAGAUGAUGCCAUAAUGAGUUUCUACAUACACUAUUUUGUAACUGAGUAGAUAGAUCUGUAAAACAGACUCCCAGAAGUGAGACUUUUGGAGCAAGGAGUAAAGUACAGUUAUCAUUUUGGUGAUUAUUGCCAAAUGUUCCUCCACAGGAGUGGUAUGCUCCACUUGCCACCAGCAGCAAUAUAUGAUUCACUGGCACUGUGUGUUGUCAAACCUUUCAGUUUCUACCAAUAUGGCCGUGAGAAAUGUUAUCUCAUUUUUAUUUCUCUUACUAUGAGUGGGGCUGAGCAUCUUUUCACAUGCUUAUGGACAUUUCUAUUUCUUGUUCUGUAUCUAUCCACUCCUGCCUUUUAACCAUUUUUCUGUGUAGUGGCUGGUCUUUUUCUUCACAGUAUUAGGAGCCUUUUAUAUAGUAGGAAAGUUACAUGUUUGUCUGUGAUGUCAGUGGCAAAUAUUUUUUCCUUGUCUAUCAACUGUCUUUUGCGUUGCCUAUUGCAGUUUUCAGGUGUUUUCUUUCCAUUCAGAAAAUAUGACUACAUUGUCCUUUCUAAACAUUACACAACCCUAGAAGGUAGCACAAUUAUUUCCAUUAUUCAGAAGACUCCAAUCUAUAGGGAUAUUAAGUAAAUUGUCCAAAACCAUACAAAUCUGACCACAGAUCUAACUUUGAAGAUGAUAUAAAAUUCAUUAUGCCAUAUUGCCCUCUCACCAUAAAGAUAAAAAAUGAGAAAAGUAAUAAAAUUAUUAUUUCACACUUUACAUUGGUUAUAUUUUUAUCCUCACACCAACUCUAUAGAUCAUUUAUUUCAUUUACAUUACAGAUAACAAUUUGAGACUACUAAAAGGGAAAUAAAUUUCCCCAGUUUGCACUGACUUUUUUCUCAUCUUCAUGGAUUUAUCUACCUUCAAUCUUUGAGGCUGCUGACCUUUGGAUGGGGUUUAACAUUAAGUGUUCCAUUGAGGACUGAAUUUUGCUUACAUUAUGGACCCUGAAACUCUUGUAAAUGGUUACAUGGCCCUCACUGAGUUGUAUACAAGGAAUCUCAGAUUUGAAUCUGUGACCCACACGUGGAAUUUGUGUGCUCACUACUCCAGACUCUUACUACUACUCUACCCUUCUUUUCCUUGUAUUUCUUUAAUUUAUC